CGUUCAAAAACUCAGCUUAGUAUCAAAGUCAUCUAUAUCCUCGCUUUUGAGAAUCAUACACAGCUAAAGUUGCAAUCGACCAAUCAGAGAGCUUCAUUGCCGCAAAUUCAAAAUGGCUGUCAGUGGUGUUUUUCAUACAGUAAAGGUUGUUUGCGUUACACUAUUUUUAUUGAAAAUAUUAUUUUUGGGCAGUUUGAACGUUGAAAAGCGAUAAAAUACCUGAUCCAAGGUGAAAUGGAGGAGCCUGUGAAAGAAGCUGUACCAGGAAAGGCCAGGAAACGACAAAAACAUCCUGAGAAAUAGAAAGGCUAAUUUGGCAAAAAAAGAGAGGUACUCGCCGCAGUUUACCUGAACCACACACGUGCAAACAUGACACAAAAAAAUAAGAAUGCGCGAAACUAAAGUUAAAAGAUCUCCUGAGAUUUCAUAAGACAUUUUACGAAAAGCCAAUAAAAAAACAACAGGAUGCAAUAAUAUUAAAAUGUUGUUCUGCAAAACAGUCAGUAGUCAGUAUGUCAUAAAGACAUUCUUGUCUACAGGACAACUCGCUAGUGAAAGAAGGGUGAAAGAAAGGUGACCAUAAAACACGAAAGUACGCUUCUCUCAGGCAAUCGGUUCACAGAUUCAUAAAAUCGUUGACUUGCAUUGAGGCACAUUAUUGCCGAAGUUCGACUCGUCAACGAUAAUAUAUUUUACCCAUCGAGCUCAAUAUAAAAAAGUUAUACAAAAUGUAUAACUCUCAAAACCCCGACAGUGCUGUAAAGUUAUCGUAUUUUCGAGCGAUUUUCAAUACGGAUUUCAAUUUAGGUUUCGGAAACCCUAGAACCGAUGCUUGCUCCAAAUGCAUCGAGUUAUCUGAAAAAAAUCAAAACAGAAGGAGACUCUUCAAAUAAAUUAAAAUUAAUGACAGAAAAAAGAAUACAUGUGCUGAGGGCGAAAGCAUUUUUCAACUUGCUAAGAGAAAAAAAAGAAGGAAUGGCAACAUAUUCUUUUGACUGCCAAAAAAAUUUGGUACUACCAAAAGUACCGGAUCAAAGUUGCUAUUAUAGUAGGCAAUUGUAUUUUUACAAUUUUGCAAUUAUUCGAGGGUCCUCUAACGACCCUCUGAAUAAAGAUAAUUCUUAUUCUUAGAUCUGGACUGAGAAUGAGCACUUUAAAGGAAGUAAUGAAAUAGCAUCUGCUGUUUAUCAUACACUUAAUCAAAGUGAUCUGACAAAUGUAAAUCACAUUCGUCCGGUGGCAGACGGAUGUGGCGGACAAAACAAAAAUAGCGCAAUUUUAGCUAUGUGUUCUCGUUGGCUUUUAGACAACAGGUCUGUAAAAAAGAUGUAAUUGGUGUUUCCUGUCACAGGGCACUCUUUCAUGCCCGCAGACAGAAUUUUCGGUAAUAUCAAAAAAGACAUACGUAAAAGAUAAGUAAUUACUUCACCUUCUGAAUAUGCUGCAAUUAUUGGCCAAUUUACUACAGUCACUAAACUGACAAGCAUACCUAUAUUUAGCUGAAAAAACGGCGUUCACGAAGUCUUAAAAACAACCGCUCAAUUACAUUUCAAAAUAUCAGAAUGUAAACGAUUUAUAUUGAAAAGAUCCAAAAAAACUGGAAAUGUUUUGGUACGUGGGGAGAUUUUUUUCACUUCAGAUACAGGAGUACCAAAAAGCAUCUGCAAAGUUGGUAAAAAAACCGAAAUGAUACGGGCUUCCAUAAUUCCGAAAGGUGUGGAGGUUAAACUUCGAGACGUAAGAAAGCUUCUUACGAACCAUUAUGGUGAAAAUUGGCCAAAUUUGCCAGAUUUGAAUUUCUAUUCAAACAUAUUAAAUAACUUACCAGACCAGGAAGCAGGCGAAGGAGAGCAAUGCGAAAAGGAAGAACACGAAGGAGAAGAUAUUUGCCAGAUGUGUGAUGAAGAGUGUAAUUAAAUUUAUAGUAAUAAUAAUUAAUAAACAAACCUACUUUUUUCUUUUCAUAUAAA
This is a long non-coding RNA of Colias croceus (clouded yellow), 1970 nucleotides long. RefSeq lists it as uncharacterized. The record is from RefSeq and is a predicted model, not a curated record. NCBI's taxonomy places the organism in Eukaryota, Metazoa, Arthropoda, Insecta, Lepidoptera, Pieridae. The transcript has 2 exons.